GAUCCUACGGGGGGCAGCAGUAGGGAAUAUUGCUCAAUGGGGGAAACCCUGAAGCAGCAACGCCGCGUGGAGGAUGAAGGUUUUCGGAUUGUAAACUUCUAUCAGCAGGGAAGAAAAUGACGGUACCUGACUAAGAAGCCCCGGCUAACUACGUGCCAGCAGCCGCGGUAAUACGUAGGGGGCAAGCGUUAUCCGGAUUUACUGGGUGUAAAGGGAGCGUAGGCGGCGAUGCAAGUCAGAAGUGAAAGCCCGGGGCUCAACUCCGGGACUGCUUUUGAAACUGUAUGGCUAGAUUGCAGGAGAGG
Molecule: ribosomal RNA, 305 nt
Filed under: uncultured bacterium
Lineage: Bacteria
Description: bacterial SSU rRNA
Rfam family: Bacterial small subunit ribosomal RNA
Source: RNAcentral